GUUUAAUGCCGGAUUUGCACAAAGAUUAUUCUUGAAAGAUGGAGCAGUUCCCUCUUUGUCUGGAGAAGGCGUUGUUUAUGGACCACAACUGAUAAAGAAAGGUCUUACAGUUUGGAACAACAUGAGGUGAUAGUUCCGACAAUCCCUGACACUCCAAGUAUGGACAUGAGUAAUGCUGCCUGUUGUGGACUGACACCUGCACUCAGGGAAUAUGGCACAAGAUACACAAAUGGCACACUGCAACCAUAUGCAAGGAACAGGAAGG
Molecule: long non-coding RNA, 265 nt
Organism: Carassius gibelio (silver crucian carp)
Lineage: Eukaryota; Metazoa; Chordata; Actinopteri; Cypriniformes; Cyprinidae
Exons: 3
Source: RefSeq, a predicted model, not a curated record